GUAGGGAAUAUUGCGCAAUGGACGAAAGUCUGACGCAGCGACGCCGCGUGAGUGAUGAAGGCCUUAGGGUCGUAAAGCUCUGUUGAAUGGGAAGAAAAAAAUGACGGUACCAUUCGAGGAAGGACCGGCUAACUUCGUGCCAGCAGCCGCGGUAAUUCGAGGGGUCCUAGCGUUGUUCGGAAUCAUUGGGCGUAAAGGGUGUGUAGGUGGCCAUGUAAGUCAGGUGUGAAAGCCUCGGGCUCAACGCGGGAAGUGCACUUGAUAUUGCGUGGCUUGAGUACCGAAGAGGGUAGUGGAAGUCCAGGUGUGGGGGAGAAAUACGUAGAUAUCUGGGGGAACACCGGUGGCGAAGGCGGCUACCUGGUCGAGUACUGACACUGAGACACGAAAGCAUGGGGAUCAAACAGGAUUAGAUACCCGUGUAGUCC
Molecule: ribosomal RNA, 428 nt
Filed under: uncultured bacterium
Lineage: Bacteria
Description: partial 16S ribosomal RNA
Rfam family: Bacterial small subunit ribosomal RNA
Source: RNAcentral